AUUGAACGCUGGCGGCAGGCUUAACACAUGCAAGUCGAGCGGGGGAAGGUAGCUUGCUACCGGACCUAGCGGCGGACGGGUGAGUAAUGCUUAGGGAUCUGCCUAUCAGUGGGGGACAACAUCUCGAAAGGGAUGCUAAUACCGCAUACGUCCUACGGGAGAAAGCAGGGAAUCUUCGGACCUUGCGCUAAUAGAUGAGCCUAAGUCGGAUUAGCUAGUUGGUGGGGUAAAGGCCUACCAAGGCGACGAUCUGUAGCGGGUCUGAGAGGAUGAUCCGCCACACUGGGACUGAGACACGGCCCAGACUCCUACGGGAGGCAGCAGUGGGGAAUAUUGGACAAUGGGGGGAACCCUGAUCCAGCCAUGCCGCGUGUGUGAAGAAGGCCUUAUGGUUGUAAAGCACUUUAAGCGAGGAGGAGGCUACUCUAGUUAAUACCUAGGGAUAGUGGACGUUACUCGCAGAAUAAGCACCGGCUAACUCUGUGCCAGCCGCCGCCGUAA
RNAcentral lists this ribosomal RNA (501 nucleotides) under uncultured bacterium. Its description in RNAcentral is "partial 16S ribosomal RNA". It matches the Rfam family "Bacterial small subunit ribosomal RNA", at positions 30 to 523 of the family's 1533-position model. The record is from RNAcentral.